This 119-nucleotide ribosomal RNA is filed under the name Lepisosteus oculatus (spotted gar). The record is from RNAcentral. Lineage: Eukaryota; Metazoa; Chordata; Actinopteri; Semionotiformes; Lepisosteidae.
GCCAGCAGCCACAUCACCCUGCAACUCACAAUUGACAGCCCAUUGAAGCUAAACAGGUGAGAGCCUGGCCAGUACCUAGACAGGAGCCCUCUUGGGAAAAACUAAGGUUGCUGCUGGAA